Molecule: long non-coding RNA, 3991 nt
Organism: Pezoporus flaviventris
Lineage: Eukaryota; Metazoa; Chordata; Aves; Psittaciformes; Psittacidae
Exons: 3
Source: RefSeq, a predicted model, not a curated record
AAAGAGAGUUAAAAAAUCACCCCAAAAGGGAAAAAUACUGCAAAAACAAACCACAAACCCCCCAAAAGGAAAGAAAACGAUAUCUAAAUUAUGUUAAUCUGUGAACACUGGGGACACUUUGGAAUUCCUUUUGACCCUGGCAAAAGUGAUCGCUCCAGCAUAAACGUCACCUGCUGCUGUCAGUUUUGCUACUACCUUGUGCAUGUGUCAAACGAAACACGUUUUGAAGAUCAGAAAUAUAUUAGAACUAAGCUAAACAACAGAAAAAAAAACCAAACCAACAAAUAGUAAUAAUAAUAAAUAAUAAAUCCUUGGGGCUGGUCUCCAUUAAAGAUGACAUUUCUUUGUUGCCAACAGUAUUAUUUCACUGCCAUGAAUCUCUUCCAUCACUGAGGAGCUGCUGCAGCAGAACUGGUUUGAAUUUAAAUGUGGAAUUUCAGAUCUGAGGCAAGGCAGGUUUUUUUUUUUGGUUUUACGUUUUUCUUUUCUUUCCUUUAAAAAAAAAAAAAGGAAAAGCAGCAAUAACAAAAAAAAAUGUGCGUCUCAAAUGGCCAUGUCCUUUGAAAGGAGGAAAAGAAUUUGCUAAUUAUUAGUGGUCACUUGAAAGAUGGGAACAAUAAGAAAUGCACCUGUUUUGCCAGAAUCAUCUGAACUCGAUGAGCUGCGUUGUGCCAUAGAAACAGGUCAAGUUAUUUUCAUUUUUUUCUUUUCCAAAAUGUCUGGAUCUUUCGAUCAAAAUCUCUCUGUUUUUACAGGACGUAGAAAGAAUGACUUAUACAACAAAGACGGACAUAUGGUUUUAAGGCAUAAUACUGAUGCAGCGUUAAUUUUAGUGAAAUGCAAUUAAGUGCAGUAAAGUGCAAUACUGUAAAUAUUAUAGAUUAAAAAAAAUAAAUAGCCGUACUUAUUCUGUUAAAAACCAAUUCUGCAAGAACCAUGAAUUAAGUCCUUUAUGCUCAGACUGGUGCUUUGCAGCUCCUUGCCAAAACGACGGCCCAAGUCUUCUAUGAAUGGAUAAAGUUACAUGUAUCGCAUAUGGGAAGAGGUAGAUGCCAUGAUUUCUAGUCGAGUUAAAUGUGCCAUAUUUUUGGGAAGUAAACUGAAGAGUCUGCAUGACACUUUCACAAUUAGUUUAAGUCAAAGAAUCCAAACCAAAACUAAAGAAACAACCUGCAAAAGUGUUUUGUAGAGGUGGACAAGUUCAAUAUUUGGGCAUUUUAAUUUUUGCCUGUGGUUUAGACCCCAAGUCUUAAGCUAAUGCUUAAGCAAAGUAACUACCAUAAAUCCAGAAAACAUGGGGAGUAGGGAAAUCCUUUAAAUUACAUUACCAAAGUGUCUGGGUUUACUGACCCCCCAUGUUUUACUUUUCAUGGUAUUCACUUCAAAUUAGUUCAUUAUAUGUUUUCUGUCUUAAUUUUUGGUGGGAAGAAGGAAGUGCAAAUAUUGGUCUUGUCUACAUCUAACAAGGAUAGCUACUUGUUGCUUUUGUUACCAAGGCCUGUGCUGAUGGAAGGUUAUCCUCUCAAUAAUACUGCUGUUAAGCCUGCUUUUUAUGUCUCAUUUAGCAAUCCAUUACUAGUUUUGGCUUUUGCUGAUAUUUAUCAAAUCCAAAUAUUACUGUAGGACAAAAAUCCAUGCUGUAGAAAAAUUUUAGACACUUGUCUUCUUUUGUUAUUUCUCCUUCAAGUUUUAUUAUUUUCCAGCAAGCAUAACUUCUGGAAUGUCAAAGUUGUGCCAUUUCCCUUUUAUUUAUUAUGUGAGGAGUAUUUAUAUUUUGGAUUUGCUAGAGCUGAUAAAUGUUACCUGCCUUUUCUACCUCUCUGUGAAAGCCCAGUACGUUUUAAAAGCACGGCCAAAACAUUAAGGUAGCAUUACUCAUUGCUGAGGAAUACAGACAAAGAUCUCAGGCAAUUAACAAUUUCUCAUUGAGACAAAAUACUACCUAGAAAGUAAAACAUUAUUCAUGGUGAUGUAUGAAUUUCUGGCUAAAAUAAGAAACAUUUGGAGUGGCUCCAGCACUUGUAACAUAUGGAUCUGAAAAAUAAUAAACAUUACUACAGAGAUGCUUUAGGCUGUAGCAAGUAACCUGUUGUACUGGAUACUGACAGCCAUCAAAGGAGAAUUCGAUACACAUUGUUGAGGACUGGAGGCAUAAAACUGUUGCCUGAGUGGAGAGUGCUUGUUACCUGUACCUCUGAUGUAAUUGUUAUCCUUUCAAACCGUCUUUUGAGAAUUUAAGAGAGGCUUAUGUGAUUUUUUUUUUUUUUUUUUCCCAGUCCUGUGCUGGACUUUCACAAAGGAGUAAUUUUUACCUUCAAACAAUUCCACAGAAUGAGCUUGUUGGAGCUGUGGGUUUAGGAUCUGAAUUUUCUUAGACGUCUUCUAAGGGAGGCUGUGAAGUGCUACCGAUCUUACAGUUGUGUUACAGGAUGCACGUACAGUAUGCAUCUGCCUCAAAUUGGAAGGAAUAACUUUUCCACCUUUGCUGUUUUACUAGGUACCAACACAGCAAAAGUGCUUGUAGGUUUCUCUCAGAUAUUUUGCUACGUACAGUUUCUUUCUUGUAUUCAAAAGCCAGUGGUAACUUAAACACAGUUCCCUGCUAACAUGAAACAAGGCUGGUAGUGUAACAUACAUCUUUUCAGAAUGAAAAAUUCUUACAGUUUCUUCUGAUUGCUUUCAAUGGAUGUCUCAAGGACCAUCUUGCCCUCUACUGCAGAAGGGAAGAAGGUGGCAAGGUUUGUCAGUUUAGCCUAUUUUGAGAGAAGGACCAUAGAUCAGCCUGGGGAAAGGGGCAGGGUGUUGCUGUGAAUCUACCAAGUCACUUCAUGAUGCUCUUGCAUUCCAUUUAGCAUGAAAGGAAACAGUGCACUGUGCAAGGGUUGUAGCUGAAACUGGUUCUGCUUUGCUUAUUUCUCAAUGGGCUAAUUGCAUCAGUGGUGGUAUAAAAGCUUUGCCUUGUUUUGGAUGAUGCACUCAGGUGGCCUCCUUGUCAUCCUUAACAUCUCUUGAAAGAAACGAGGAGUCCUACCUGGGCUACCAUGAACUGUAUGUGUCCCUAAGUGUAAGUCCCUGUGGCUCCAUUCACCGUGUGGAGCACCAGGGACCCAUUCAAGUUGAGAAUCUGGACCAAAGCAUCUGCUGCGUUUCUGUUAAUGUGUGGUCUUUUUUUUUUUGUUUUGUUUUGUUUGCAUUUACUUCAUUAUUUUUCUUGAGGGAGUUGGAGGUUGAAGAUAAGGUAGUCAAGGUCCUAAGAUACUUAUUAAAUCUUAAAAGUAUUGUAAUUGUGUUAGAUUCUCAGGCAUGACAAAACUCUUUUUUUUUUUUUUUUGUACACCAUCAUACAGCCUGAUGCAAUCUUUCAUUUGAGAAGUGUGAGAUUUCCAAGAUCACCAGAGCAGUGGCCACUGGGAAAAAUUCCCUUGGAGGAGGCCUUCAGUUAGUGACCUCUGUUUAAGUUGCUGCGUGAGGUAAACCAUGCUCGAGGAGCAAAUUUGGACUGUGAAGAGAAUGAAGCCAUUUUCUAAGAAUAUUCCUCACCUGCAUGAGAUACCGAUGAGCCGAGUAUCUUCUUCUACUGGCAGAUGAGACCUCAGGCUGCAUCUUGUCUUCCAUCAUAAUGGAAUCCACUGUACAGGAGCACUUGGGGUGGCACCUCUUGGUAAUAUUUUUUUUUACUACACGAGAGUAAUCGGCUGAUGCUUCCCAGAAUUGUUGGGCUGCUAAGGCUCUGGUAAACCCUGUAUAUGCCUCAAGGAAAACCGUACAUGCCUCGCAGGGGUCCAGGAAAGUAGGUGAGUGAGGGUAGACUACCAUGAUCAGAAAAAUGGCUAAUGCUUAUGAGAAUCCUGUUGCUUGAGGACCAUUCCCUGUUCACUUGCCAUGAAUAAGGAGGGAGCAAAGUUGAAUGAAUUGUCUAGCAAGGUUGGUGAGCUGGGUAUCCCUUUCAUAAACCUGGGGCUUAGCUGGAACUUUCUGAAGCAGUUGUGAA